This 274-nucleotide ribosomal RNA is filed under the name uncultured bacterium. RNAcentral describes it as "partial 16S ribosomal RNA". It matches the Rfam family "Bacterial small subunit ribosomal RNA", at positions 523 to 796 of the family's 1533-position model. The record is from RNAcentral.
AUACGGAGGCGGCUAGUGUUGUUCGGAAUUACUGGGCGUAAAGCGCGUGUAGGCGGAUCGUUAAGUCAGGGGUGAAAGCCCGGGGCUCAACCCCGGAACUGCCCUUGAUACUGGCGAUCUAGAGUCCGGAAGAGGUGGGCGGAAUUCCCGGUGUAGAGGUGAAAUUCGUAGAUAUCGGGAGGAACACCAGUGGCGAAGGCGGCUCACUGGUCCGGCACUGACGCUGAGACGCGAAAGCGUGGGGAGCAAACAGGAUUAGAAACCCUAGUAGUCC